RNAcentral lists this ribosomal RNA (291 nucleotides) under Septoglomus constrictum. Its description in RNAcentral is "partial small subunit ribosomal RNA". It matches the Rfam family "Eukaryotic small subunit ribosomal RNA", at positions 569 to 864 of the family's 1831-position model. Lineage: Eukaryota; Fungi; Glomeromycota; Glomeromycetes; Glomerales; Glomeraceae. The record is from RNAcentral.
AGCAGCCGCGGUAAUUCCAGCUCCAAUAGCGUAUAUUAAGGUUGUUGCAGUUAAAAAGCUCGUAGUUGAACUUCGGGAUCAAUGGAUCGGUCAUGCCGAUGGUAUGUACUGGUCGUAUUGGUUCUCACCUUCUAAGGAACCAUAAUGUCAUUAAUUUGAUGUUUUGGGGAAUUAGGACUGUUACCUUGAAAAAAUUGGAGUGUUUAAAGCAGGCUAACGCUUGAAUACAUUAGCAUGGAAUAAUGAAAUAGGACAUCGCAUUCUAUUUCGUUGGUUUCUAGGAUCGAUGUA